GAUGAACGCUAGCGGCAGGCCUAAUACAUGCAAGUCGAACGGUAAGGCCCUUUCGGGGGUACACGAGUGGCGGACGGGUGCGUAACGCGUAUGCAACAUACCUUCAAGCGGGGGAUAUGCCAGGGAAACUUGGUGCAACACCCCAUAGCAUUUCGGGACCGCAUGGUCUUGGGAUUUAAAAUAUUUAUAGCUUGGAGAUUGGCAUGCGUGACAUUAGCUAGUUGGCGGGGUAACGGCCCACCAAGGCGACGAUGUCUAGCUGGUCUGAGAGGAUGAUCAGCCACACUGGGACUGAGACACGGCCCAGACUCCUACGGGAGGCAGCAGUAGGGAAUAUUGGACAAUGGGGGAACCCUGAUCCAGCCAUGCCGCGUGAGGGAAGAAGGUCCUCUGGAUUGUAAACCUCUUUUGGUCGGGGGACAAACCUGCACUAUACGUGCAGCUGAGGGUACCCGCAGAUAAGCACCGGCUAACUCCGUGCCAGCAGCCGCGGUAAU
This 497-nucleotide ribosomal RNA is filed under the name uncultured bacterium. Its description in RNAcentral is "bacterial SSU rRNA". It matches the Rfam family "Bacterial small subunit ribosomal RNA", at positions 28 to 524 of the family's 1533-position model. The record is from RNAcentral.